Molecule: long non-coding RNA, 3781 nt
Organism: Pygocentrus nattereri (red-bellied piranha)
Lineage: Eukaryota; Metazoa; Chordata; Actinopteri; Characiformes; Serrasalmidae
Exons: 6
Source: RefSeq, a predicted model, not a curated record
AAGACUGCUGGGAUAGGCUCCAGCAUCCCCCCGCGACCCUGACGGAGAAGCGGCUUAGAAAAUGGAUGGAUGGAUGGAUGGAUGUAGCACUUUGGACGACCAUCAGACAAGCUCCAACUAUGAUGGUGCUCCUAAAAUGUCUUACAGUGUUGAGUGUUGAAUUUCUACUUCAAAUAGCCCAAUCCACCAGCGAUCCACACACUCCAAAACAGUCAACUAAUCUGCUGGCCAACAUCACACUGAACUGUGAAGACAUUUGCUCAUUUGGACAGUGCACAUAUGCAGUGCCAGAAGAAGGGCAUACACACCUGUGGAGCAAAGACUGUGAGCAGGAGUGGUUCACACAGGAUGGAUUUUUUUUAGUUGAUGGAAGUCCUUCUACACUAAACAGAUCCCUGCCCCACUUGGUUCUUGCAGUGACUCCAGGCAAUCUAACAGUACUCUACUGCAUGAAUGAGCUUCAGUGUAAAAUAACAUGUCAUGGAUCUCAGUAUCAAUUUCAGGUUUGUACAAAGCUGUGAACAACACUAAAGAGGGUAUCAAAACUUCCGAUCAGUCCAUCAAUACAACUAUAAUCAUCAUCAUUCUGGUUGCAGUCGGAGCUGUGGCCUUUCUGGUGGCUUGGUUUGUAAUCUGGAUGUAUCGUACAACAUUCUCCAGAAAUGAGGUCAUUUGAGGUAUGAGCUCUUCCUCAGCUGUGACACUGCCCAUCACCCAUCGCUUAAAACUGUCAUCUAAAAUCAAACUGAGGUUUUCCAGCAUUCAGUAUUCUAGCAUGGUUUUGAUUUGGUUGAGUAGGAAGGCUUUGGUUUCAGGCUAGGAUAUUCAGUGAUUGAUUUUGAAUCAUAUUUGCAGCAGUGGUGCCUGCAUGAGGUGCUGUAAAAUCAAGUGGACAGGUUGGACCCAGAAUUUGGCUAUAGCUGACACAGAACCAAAAAGGCCACCCAGUUAACUUAUUUAGGUGCUGUUUACAUUCUAAAUGGAGACCACUAAGAAUUUUUUUUUCUUGUCUGAGGACUAAUGUAAAAUUAAUUUGUCAGUUAUCUAUUUAGCAGAUAUGUACAAAUUCAGUGGCACAAAACAGACAGAGGAGUAUAUUUAUUUUGUAAUAAUCAUUCAACAAUGAAGGGAAAUCUUUUAGCCACUGUUGUUCAGAUGAGUACAUGAGAUCUAGUGAUAGAGCUAACAAUUUAACAUGAGAGGCAGUCAAUGAAAAGUUUUCUAAUGUGGAAACCUGUUGGCUUGUUAAGGCAACUCUGUGAAGAGAGAACCAUCUUUUAAGCUAAGAUAUGGUUAUCAUGGUUAGCUUAGCAGCUUUAGUUUCUCCAGGCUUCUCAGUCAUGUGGCAUGACAAGGCACUGAACUGCCAGUCUAUUAGGAACACAUACCUCAUAGGCCAAACAUGGAGCUGUAACUCUAAACUGUGGAAUUAAUGUAUCAACUUUUUUCUGCGUCACAUUUGAACAGUUCUACAUGUGAGUGGUGGACUGCUGCAUGUGUGGGCUGCACACAGAGAGAGAAAGAGAAAGUGCAGUAGAGUACUCGCCUGGCAUGUGCACCACAUUGAUGCUACUGAUGUAGCCCCAUAUGAAAUUAAUGGAGACCAUCUAACAGCAAAUGCCAUGCGAAUACUCAAGUGCACAGAGCUCGUAACAUUAGGGACCAAUCAUGCAAAUGCAGCCACCAGAAAAAAGUGAUAAUGACAACAACCAGGACUGGUAAACUGUGAAAAUGGCUAGCUAGAGAGAUGGAGAAAACCUGAAUGAAAAGCAUGAUGGAGGUGUGCAGAAAAAAGGAAGAUACUUAAAAAAAUACACAGAGAAAUUCAUGAAACUGUUUGAUUUGAUUUGGAUAUCAGAGUCAGGAACUGCAGGGUCAGUAGGGGUAAGUGACCUUGCAAGACCUUUGCUUUGUUAGCUAGCUUGUUAAGUUAGCCAGUUUAUUCAGUCAACUUCUAAUCUAAGGCUACAGAUGGAAGUCUGGCUAAUUAGCUAGCCAGCUAACUAUCAGCCACUCCUGUUCUCGAUCAUAAAUGAGCGUGUUUGAAAUGCUCACUUUUACGUAUUUCAGAAAGAUUGAACAGUGCUUAUUAUUGUUCAAGAAUAUGGGUCCACUUACUGAGACUGAGAUUUCAACUUUGCUUUCCUUAACAGAGUCAAAAGUGAAAACGUUUUUCUUUGCUUUCAAUUAAUUCUUCAAGUAUAGCAAGCAAAGGCUAGAGGUUUUGUGAGACAAGAUGUGCAAACAGAACUAUUUGAGAAAAUAGUUGUUUUUAGUGAAUGUAGUGUAAUUUCUAUUGCCUGUUAUGCUUUUAAAGUGGUGUCUCUCUAAAGUACAUUUGUGGGAAUAUAGUUGCUUUUAUUGUUUAUUGGUGAUUCUUAUUCUAUGAAACAGCAUAGCUUGUAAGAGCACACACUAAAAUGACUGCGCUGGACAGUUUGCAGAGUUUACAGAAAAGAGUGAAAAUUGGGAAUUUCUUGUUUUAAUUGUGAAAACUGACUGAACAGAAAGGAAGGUCAGUGUCUUUUUGUUAACCUACUGUGAAGAAGAAUGCUAGCCACAAACUCAAUGCCAAAACAGUGAUAUAUAUGUAAACUGGAUAAAGAGACAUGAUCUGUAUGGAGCUCAUUUGCUUCCCUCUCUCAGAUAGAGGACUCAUUGCCAAGUAUCAGGCAGAUUUCAAUACUGUACGUGUAAGUGGUGGCCCAAACUGGAAUCAAAAACAUAAGAAACAUAUGAUUUUCCUAUUCACACUGCCACACAAAAACCUAAUUUGUGUCACAUUUUGAAAAAAGGAUGUCUAGAGCGAGGUAAUUCAGCAGCAACUGCUUAACAUGAAACUCUCUGAUGACUCUAAUAUUGUGUACAGUAUGACAAUAAUGAUACUUGAUAUUAUCAAACUUGAAUGAGUCAUUACUGAAUAAAGGCUGCACUCGUUCACAUUUAAUAUCUGCAUCAUUGCACUGUUUCUUGUCUGUGUUUCAUUUGUUUACUUAAAAAAAAACAAAAAAACGGCUUAAUUUCUCCUCAGGGUCUACAUUUUUAAUUGUAAUAUUGUUCAGCAUUUGGAACUAUUUGUCAUAUUCGUACUUGCUGUUAUUUUAUUCAGUAUUAACUUAUACAAUGUAAAUAUAAGCUAUAUAAAAUACUAUAAGCUGGUCAUUGAAAGGUAUUUUUAUAAAAAAUUUUUGGAAACACUAAGAAGUUACUGCAUGAAAAACGAAAUACUUGAUUAACUAUUUUUUAUGUCUUGACAAGUUAUCUGCUUCAAGAUUUGGUUACUUUUUAAAUACAAUAUACACACUUUUGAAUACAACCUAUUCUGGAAGCUACUUUUAUUUUAACUUCAUUCUCUGAUCUGUUCAUCAUUUUGGUUACAAUAAAAUGACUUAAAUAUUCACAGCUUCCUGGACAUUUUUAAAUAUGGGACAGCCCUAUCCACGGCACCUGGGGAGCAAUUGGGGGUUAGAUGCCUUGCUCAAGGGCACUUCAGUCAUGGACUGUCAGCCAAGGGGAUGAAACCAGCAAACUUCCGGUCACAGGGCUGGUUCCCUAAGCACCAGCCCAUGACCAAUACUGUAGAUCAAGCUUGUUUUUGGUCAUGGACUAAUUUAUAUUGUAUCAGUUAAAUGAAAGAAAGAAAACUAUCAAUGUGCUUGUAUUUUAUUUUACAUGCAUGUUACAAAACUUGACAAAUGCUAAAUGGUAAAUUUUUGAUGCUAAUGUUUCACUGUUCUUUCUAUUUUUACUUGAAGUGACUAAAUAAAAGCUGUUUGUUGAA